GACGGAGGGUGCAAGCGUUGUUCGGAAUUACUGGGCGUAAAGCGUGCGCAGGCGGUUUUGUAAGCCAGAUGUGAAAUCCCCAGGCUUAACCUGGGAAUGGCAUUUGGGACUGCAAGGCUCGAGUGCGGCAGAGGAGACUGGAAUUCCUGGUGUAGCAGUGAAAUGCGUAGAUAUCAGGAGGAACACCGAUGGCGAAGGCAGGUCUCUGGGCUGACACUGACGCUCAUGCACGAAAGCGUGGGGAGCAAACAGG
RNAcentral lists this ribosomal RNA (253 nucleotides) under uncultured bacterium. RNAcentral's name for it is "partial 16S ribosomal RNA". It matches the Rfam family "Bacterial small subunit ribosomal RNA", at positions 524 to 776 of the family's 1533-position model. The record is from RNAcentral.